UACGUAGGUGGCAAGCGUUGUCCGGAUUUAUUGGGUUUAAAGGGUGCGUAGGCGGCUUUGUAAGUCAGUGGUGAAAUACUCUAGCUUAACUAGAGGGGUGCCAUUGAUACUGCGGAGCUUGAGUACAGAUGAGGUAGGCGGAAUUGACGGUGUAGCGGUGAAAUGCAUAGAUAUCGUCAAGAACACCGAUAGCGAAGGCAGCUUACUGGGCUGUAACUGACGCUGAUGCACGAAAGUGUGGGGAUCAAACAGG
RNAcentral lists this ribosomal RNA (253 nucleotides) under uncultured bacterium. Its description in RNAcentral is "partial 16S ribosomal RNA". It matches the Rfam family "Bacterial small subunit ribosomal RNA", at positions 524 to 776 of the family's 1533-position model. The record is from RNAcentral.